UGUUUUUUCUCAUUGUAUGAUGCAAGUGUCUUCAUUUCACUCAAAUAGUUUUAGUGGUUGACUGCUUGGAUUUAAGCUUAACUACCUUUUCUGUGAAAUUAGGAAACAUGAUUAUUUUAAUCCUAGAUUUGACAAAUAGGUUUGGCGCAAUCACACAGAAAAACGCAAUAAAAUCGUAUUGAUUUUUUCACAUCAGACAACAUUGGGGCAAACCAAUUUGAAAGUUAUCUAAAUUUGUGACAAUUUGCAGUCUGUAAAGGAUCGAGUUUGAAGUAUUUCUUCCGAAUAAUGAAAAGUACGGGACAAUAAUUUGAAAAGCUUUCAUUUAAAGGGUAAAUUAAACAUAUUACCGUGUGACAUGUCAACAGAAAUACAUACUAUGAAUCCCUUUUAUUAAAAUCAUACCGCAGUAAAGAGAGC
This 420-nucleotide long non-coding RNA is filed under the name Mytilus galloprovincialis (Mediterranean mussel). Lineage: Eukaryota; Metazoa; Mollusca; Bivalvia; Mytilida; Mytilidae. The record is from RNAcentral.